GCAAUCAUAAGACCAUAUGACAAUUUUUUUGGGUUGAGACUUGGCAUCCCUGAGUAUUUAUAAUGAUAUGUUUUUCCAGUAUAUGGGACCUGUAGAUGCUGAGCUGCUGUCCAAUAGCAAUGCAGCACGUGAACUAUGAGUAUGAAAUAAAGCGCGAAAUAGAGAUCUUAUUUUAAAGUGUUUACAUUUGUGUUGCACUUUUGAAAACGUCUGAAAGAUUAUUUAUCAGGACGUUUUUUCUCUCAUUACACACACACUCUCUCUCUCUCUUUUUUUUUACAAUUUCAUUUUUAGUGUGCUGUGUUAGCGCAAAAACUACUGUGCUGUGAAAAAAUAUUUGCCCCCAUCCUUGUUUCUUCUGUUUUUGUGUAUAUCUCAUACUAAAUUGUUUCAAAAAUUCAAACAAAAUCUAACAUAAAACAAAGGCAAUCUGACUAAACACAAAAUACAGUUUUUAAAUGACAAUGUUAUUUAUUGAAGCAAAAAAGUUAUCCAGUACCAACUGGGCCUGUCUGAAAAAGAAUUUGCCCCCUUAGUUACUAAAUCCCCAAAUCUAUGAAACUGCAUUCAUAAUGGAGUUCAGCUGGACUAGACACACCCAGGCCUGAUUACUGCCAGCCCUGUUCAAUCAAAUCAACACCUAAAUAGAACUUUUUCUGGUUAAAGGUCUCACUCAGUAGCACACUAUGCCAAGGUUGAAAGAAAUUCCAGAAAUGAUUGAAAUACAUCAGUCCGGGAAGGGUUAUAAAGCUAUUUCAAAGGCUCUGGAACUUUAAAAAACCACAGUGAGAGCCAUUAUCUUAAAAUGGAGAAAACUUGGCACAGCAUUGAACCUUCCCAGAAGUGGCCGACCUUCCAAACUUCCUCCAAGAGCACAGCGACAACUCUUUAAAAAAAAAUAAUUCCAAGGAACUGCAGGCAUGCAUCAAUAAAAGUCAUUGUUCAUGACUCCACUAUCAGAAAGGCACUGGCCAAAAAUACCAUCCAUGGAAGAGUGGUGUGGCAAAAGCUAUUGCUAACCCAGAAGAACAUUAAGGCUUGUCUGAAUGUUUCCAAAAACACACCUUGAUGAUCCUCAAACCUUUUGGGAGAAUGUUCUGAAAGUGGAACUGUUUGGAAGAUGGGUCCCGUUACAUCUGGUGUAAAUCAUACCUACGGUAAAGCAUGGUGGUGGUAGUGUAAUGGUGUGGGGAUGCUUUGCUGCUUCAGGGCCAGGGCGAUUUGCAAUAAUUGAGGGAAACGUGAAUUCUGCGCUCUCCCAGAAAAUCUUAAAGGAGAACAUCCGGUCAUCAGUCCGUGAGUUGAAGCUCAAGUGCAACUGGAUUAUGCAGCAAGACUAUGAUCCAAAGCAUAUGAUUAAGUCCACCUCUGAAUGGCUCAAAAUUAUAGUUCUGGAGUGGCCUAGUCAAAGUCUUGAUUUGAACCCGAUUGAGAUGCUGUGGCAGGACCUUAAACCCUCCAGUGUGGCUGAACUCUGCAAAGAAGAGUGGGCCAAAAUUCACCACAGCAUUGUCAAAGACUGAUCUCCAGUUAUUGGAAGUAUUUGGUUGCGGUUGUUGCUGCUAAAGGUUGCAAAACCAGAUAUAAAGUUUAAGGGGGCAGUUAGUUUUUCACAUGGGUGAUAUAGGUGUUGGAUAACUUUUUUUGCUUCAAAAAACAAAAACUUUAUUUUGUGUUUACUCUGGUUACCUUAAUUUUAUGUUAUAACUCAUUUGAAGAUCUAAAACCAUUUAGUAUGAGAAAAAGAAAUCAGGAAGGGGCAAAUACUUUUUCACAGCACUGUACAUUAAUUUGUAAUGCCUAAGCAUUUGCAACAUGACUUCAUACAAUGAGAGAUAAAUGUGCAAUGAAAAAUUAAAUAAAAAUAACAAUUUACCUGUUUCUUGUGACGUCACCGAAUGACUGCGCUGCCAUGUUUGUGACCAAUAUUCCAUAUUCCUUCAUUGUGCUGUGCUGUGAGAUAAAACACAAACCUUUUUCAGGAGUUAAAAGAAGCUCUUACAUUAAUACAGAUGGGAUCAUCACAGAUGUUUUUUUUAAUACUGUAACUAAAUCAGACCAGAAAACAACACAAAAUAAUUUAUAACUUCUGAGUGAGAGAUGUUUACGGUGAUGUGCCGGUGUCAUGAUAAAUUGUGUCUGCCUGUGAAACUGUGUCCCCAGGGGGUAACUGCUCAGGACACAAUGGUUUUUCCAUCAUAAUUGCUGGUGGUCAUAUAAGACUGUAAGGUGUGUAAAUAUGUAAAAUAAUUUGUAAUAUUGUGGUUCUGUAAUUCUGUAGCAGAUAGCUUGCCAAAUGGAAUCUAACUGAAAAACCCACAGAACAAGAAAUGUUUAAUUUCACGAUCUAUAGCUGUGGUAAUAUACCAUUAUGUGUAAAAAAAAAAAAAAAAAAAAAAAUAUUUAGAAGUCAUCAAAUGUGGUAUUUACAAAGUUAUAUUGACAUACAUCAUAAAAGGAUUUUGUAGGAUUUUUACUCAGGCAGUUUAUAUAAACCUUAUUCACACUAGAGCUUUCUUUGAUUUUUAAUGGGAAUGACGAGGCUGUGCAGGAUAGACUUGCAGUCUCUUCAAUGGGCUAUACUGCAGUUUAAAGUGUUUUUGGAUCAUUCCGCGGACAAAACAUUGAUAAAAUAUCUGUCCAAGAACAUUCAGUAUACAAAGAACUCCAGACAACAUGAGUUGUGGAAAAUCAGAUGUGAUCUAAGAGCUUUAUACAAGGGAUGGGCAUUCAUCAAUAAUUUGGUAUUCAAAUAUUUAAGCUCAUAAAAAACAAAUACUUGAAAAUUCUAUUAUUUAAAUGAAGGUAAUUAAUCAGAAAGAGACGCUGUAAAAUUAUUUUUUUAGUCAAAGUUUGUGUCACCAUUUAAAAAAAUCAAGCUUCUAAUUAUAUCCAAAACAAGCUUAUAUUAUGUCCUGUUUUUUUUUGUUGAAAACAUUUAAACAAGCAAUGCGUGAAAACAAAAAAGUUUUUUUUUUUUUUGAGCAUUUAAACUAAAGCAAAGCGAAGAAAAAGAAACCGCUAAUGAAGUGGACUGACGCAAUUAAUUAUACAAGACGAAUAUAAACACUCGACAAAUAAUAGUUAUGUUUAUAUUUUAUCUCAUGUCAUGUUAUUGUUGAGAAACUAGCAUAUCCACAUGCUCAAUAAACUAUACUCAUUUGUAAACACCAGUUUAAAUGAUGGAAUGUCCCUUACCUACAAUAGUCUUUCUCGGAUGCCAUGUUUGUUGUUUACAGGAGCGUCAUGGGGAUUAGGUUGUUACGGGGAUGCUACUUUCUGUCGAGCUGCACAUUUACAGGAGUAAAGAGUACACCACUUAUACAGUACAUUUAAACAGGAACCCAGCUUUCUCGCAGUAAGCCACAUUGCAAUAACCCGCUUUUUGGUGUCCAUCUAAACAUACUGACAGAACGGUUUUGCUCAUCAAAUGUGAUCAACUCGUGUCCACACUCAACAGCGCCACCCAGUGCAUUCUGUUAUAACUGUCAGUUUGGGUGUUCAGGAUUUAACAUGCAUCUCACUGUAUAUAUGGCCAGCAAAGCAAAACUUUGUGAAAUUCGAAUAGUAUUUUUACAUUUCGAAUAAUUAUUGCAGAAUGAAUACUCAAGUAUUCUACUAUUCGUGCACAUCCCUACUUUAUACAGCUAUAUACCAUUCGUGCCAUUGAAGAGAUGGUAAGUCUAUACCUCACAGCUUUGUCAUUCCCAUUAAAAAUCAUAUUAUAGUACUAUAGUACUCAUCACCUUAUUCAGCCCGCCCCUUUUCCACACUCUGCUGUUCUGUGUUUUGUCAUCUAACUUCCUGUUUGUAUUGAAGUUACUGAGAAGAGUCGAUCAAAAUAGAUUACAGAAAGUAUUUUUCACCAAGAGUUGAUGUAGUGAGUCUACAGCACCCCUUUAAUACAUGAAAAUGCUAGUGAGGUGUUUCUUUCUGUCGCUCUAAAUGUUAUUUUUUCAGACACACACGGAGGUAAAUUGGACCUGGCAGAUCACAUUUGGACAGCUAUGACACACUGCACUUUUUCAUAAUACAAGCAUUUAAUUGUUAUACGUGUAAUUCUGCUUAAUUUUUAGGUUUCAACUUAAAUUAACUUGUUAAUUUUAACUAAAUUGUUAAAAUGUGUAGUUGAUAUGAAAUUUCCAACAGUGACAGCUCAUAUUAUUACACUUGCAAGUUCAACAUUAAAGAAAAUGACAAUUGUACUUUUUAAAAUUAAUUUGUCACCCUACAUUUUUUAGAGGCUUAAAUGUGAUUGAAAUUGUUGUAAAUGGAAUAUAAAAUAAAACAUAGUCUUUCACAUGUGUAUGUGUGUAUAAAUAUAGUGUCCACCCAUCAUGCUUUAACGCUCAAAAAAAAUCUGCUUUAACCAUAACGCAAUGGGUGAAUGACACGAGAAGAUGGUCAGAGGUGUCUUACAGAGAUAUUUUUAUGACUUUGUGUUGUCUCUUGGAGUUUCAUGAGCACAGAAGAGUAUCAGUACGUCCACAGCGUGAAGGUAGGAUCUUGUGUGUUUAUGAAUGAAGUACUCUUGUUUUAAAAUCUCCCCGGUCUGCUACCAGUUGUUAUGACAUCCCCUGAACACUUUAAAGUACUCAUGAUAGCUUUUGACAACUCUAACCUGUAAAUCCAUUUUGCUAGCUAAUUACACUUUGACAUCAACACCAUAUAUCUAUAUAGAGCCGCUAGAAUGGAAGUUCCGAGACAAUUUUCAAGAUGGCUGCGCACUAGUUUCUCUGGCGCAUAAGGUGAAUAGAGACCGCUGGCAGCACGUCAUACCCGGGGGUGUGGUUUAGCAUGGGGAAAGCGAAGCCUUGUUACCAUAGUUACUCGUACAUUCCUAUGAGGAAAAAGGGGAGACAUAUCCGACAAAUUUGGCUAUUGUAACGACGAAAAAUAUGACGAAAAGCUGUUGUGUAAUUUUUUCACUCCAAACAAUGCUAAAAAACUAAAAACUGAUUUUUUUAUUGCCCGUCAACUGACAGAAAUAGAAGCCUAAAGAAGAGCACUAGUCAACCAUAUGCGGCGUACGUGCUUUAAUAUAUUUGUGAAACAUCCGAGUGAAUUCAAGACUAAAUAGAUUAUCAUAUCACAACAGCGGUUCCAGCAGAGACAUAAUGAUGAGUUAACACCAGAAAACAAGGCAAAAACUUGUCAUGAUCGAAGUGGAGCACUGCUUAUUGUUUUUCAUACUUUAAUCUAUCAAACAUUCUAAGGGGAUCUAUUUCUCGGUAAGUUCAGUUUGGCGAAGUGUUUUCAUUAUGUUUUUCGUUGUUAAAAAAGCCAAAUCUAUCAAUAUUUCUCCCCGUUUUCCUCAAAGGAAUGUAUGAGUAACUAUGGUACCAGCGCUUUGCUUUCCCCGUGAAUGAAGCCUUGUUUUUACUUUCGCUGACUGCGCACACCUCCGUAAAUUCUGGAGGCAUUUAUACUUGACAGGUUCGCCAUUGUACUAUUCUUUUAAACGUCAGGGGGCAGUCAAGUAUCCUCUAAAGCAACCGGAAGUAACAGUGAGAAGUAGUAGUUUGCCGAAAUGACGUCAGAUCAUAAAGAUGGCGCCCUGCGUGCAGUUGCUUGAUGCUGAAGAGGAAUUGUUGUGUUUGUUGUUGUGUAAAAGAUGACGUAGAAGGAGAUGGAAUGUCUGCCCGUUACAUACAACCAGACAAAGAGAUGGUGAAUACACUGCUUUUGUGAAGCAGAUGCGUGCAGUGGAUGAGGAGAUGCACUUUAGCUAUUUCCGCAUGUCUGCCCACCGGUUUGAUGACUUGGUGCAUCGCAUCAAGCCGUAUGUCGAACACAAAAUGACACAUGAGCCCUGUGAGUUUGGAAGAAAGACUGGCUGUCACACUGCGUAUACUUGUGUCUGGUAACAGCCAGAAAUGUGUUGCUGCAAGUUACAAAUUGGGAUCGACCACAGUCUCACUGAUGGUGAGUGAGGUCUGCCGGACCAUCUGGAGGGCUCUGAAAGACGAGUUUGUCUCCUCGCCAAAAGACAAUAAAUGGCUCGAGAUCAGGUGGGAUUUCUGGAAAUUGUGGAAUGUACCCAAUUGUUUGGGGUGCGUGGAUGGCAAACAUGUGGUCAUCAAAGCACCACCAAAUGCUGGGAGUGAUUGCUACAAUUAUAAAGGGACACACUCCAUUGUUCUCAUGGCCAUCUGUGAUGCCAAGUAUCGUUUCACAGUGGUGGACACUGGUUCAUACAGAUGUCAAUGUGGUGGUGGGAUUUUCAAUAGCAGUAUUUUUGGGUCCAAACUUGUACGGGGCACCCUUGAACUUCCUCAGCCUGAAAACCUGCCGGGUACCAAAAUAAAACUUCCACAUGUGUUCCUGGGAGAUGCUGCAUUCCCCCUGAACUGGGUUUGACCCUAUCCAGGUGCCAACUUGAAUGAUGCUUAAAGUGUACAUUACAGACCGUCAAGGGCAAGUAGAGUGAUUGAAAACAUUUUUGGCAUCCUUGCUGCACGCUGGAGGAUCUUGGAUGACCCAUUGAGUUCCACCCUGAAAAGACCGUGGAUGUUGUGAAGGAUUGUGUGGCCCUUCACAACAUGCUAACCCACAUCCAAGUAUAUUCCACCAAAUUUUCCAGAUGGCACCACAGCAUCAGGGGAGCAAGUGCCGGAUGAAAGGAGACAGCUUGUGUCUGGAGACAAUAACCUGGUCGAGUCAGGAAGACACUCUAUCUCGGGCAGCAAUUGUAGUGAGAACUUACUUUGUCUUUCUCACACCACAGGGCCUUGUACCUUGGCAGGAUACUGUCAUCUGAAGAGGCUGUUUACAGUAAAGAAAGGCAUAUUAUAUUGAUUUAGUGCAGUGACUGUAUCUACCUAUGUAAAACCAUUCAUUAAAAAUCUUAGUAAUUAUCAAACUUCA
This is a long non-coding RNA of Myxocyprinus asiaticus (Chinese sucker), 6867 nucleotides long. RefSeq lists it as uncharacterized. The record is from RefSeq and is a predicted model, not a curated record. The transcript is spliced from 2 exons. Lineage: Eukaryota; Metazoa; Chordata; Actinopteri; Cypriniformes; Catostomidae.